UACAGAGGUCCCAAGCGUUGUUCGGAUUCAUUGGGCGUAAAGGGUGCGUAGGCGGUUCGGUAAGUCGGGUGUGAAAUCUCGGGGCUUAACUCCGAAACCGCAUUCGAUACUGCCGUGCUUGAGGACUGGAGAGGAGACUGGAAUUUACGGUGUAGCGGUGAAAUGCGUAGAUAUCGUAAGGAAGACCAGUGGCGAAGGCGGGUGUCUGGGCAGUUACUGACGCUGAGGCGCGAAAGCGAGGGGAGCAAACGGG
Molecule: ribosomal RNA, 253 nt
Filed under: uncultured bacterium
Lineage: Bacteria
Description: partial 16S ribosomal RNA
Rfam family: Bacterial small subunit ribosomal RNA
Source: RNAcentral